Non-coding RNA from Xyrichtys novacula (pearly razorfish), 11821 nucleotides. The record is from the annotation of a GenBank genome assembly. NCBI's taxonomy places the organism in Eukaryota, Metazoa, Chordata, Actinopteri, Labriformes, Labridae.
UUGGGGCUAGGGUUUGGUUUAAGGUUUUUGGCGUUAGGGUUAAAAUAACUGUCCAAUAUUUUUAAAGGAACAUGUUUCAGACCUUUGGGAGUUAGUUAGACAAAGAAAAAAGAAAAAGAAAAAAUAUAUAUUUGGGGUGUUCGGGUUUCCUGAAGGUAAUACCCGGGUAUUAGGUUAUGGGGCUAGGGUAAGGUUUAAGGUUUUUGGCGUUAGAGUUAAAAUCAGUGUCCAAAACCUUUUUAGGAACAUGUUUAAGACCGUUUAGAGUUGGUUACACCAAAAAAAAAAGUAAAAUGAUAAAAAAAUAUUUGGGGUGUUCGGGCUUCCUUAAGGUAAUACCGGGGUAUUAGGUUUUGGGGCUAGGGUAAGGUUUAAGGUUUUUGGUGUUAGGGUUAAAAUCACUGUCCAAAACCUUUUAAGGAACAUGUUUCAGACCUUUUGGAGUAGGUUACACCAAAAAAAAAUGUAAAAUGAAAAGAAAAUAUUUGGGGUGUUCAAGCUUCCUGAAGGUAAUACCCGGGUAUUAGGUUUUGGGGCUAUAGUAAGGUUUAAGGUUUUUGGCGUUAGGGUUAAAAUCACUGUCCAAAACCUUUGUAGGAACUAUUUUCCAACCUUUUGGAGUUAGUUAGACCAAAAAAAAAAAGAAAAAUGAAAAAAAUAUAUUUGGGGUCUUCGGGCUUCCUGAAGGAAAUACCCAGGUAUUAGGUUAUGGGGCUAGGGUAAGGUUUAAGGUUUUUGGCGUAAGGGUAAAAAUCACUGUCCAAAACCUUUGUAGGAACAUGUUUCAGACCUUUUGGAGUUGGUUACACCAAAAAAAAUGUAAAAUGAAAAAGAAUUUUUUUUGGGUGUUCGGGCUUCCUGAAGGUAAUACUAGGUUUCUGGGCUAGGGUAAUGUUUUAGGUUUUUGGCGUUAGGGUUAAAAUCAAUGUCCAAAACCUUUGUAGGAACUCUUUUCCAACCUUUGAGAGCAAGUUAGACCAAAACAAAAAGAAAAAUAAAAAAUAUAUAUUUGGGGUGUUCGGGCUUCCUGAAGGUAAUACCCGGGUAUUAGGUUAUGGGGCUAGGGUAAGGUUUAAGGUUUUUCGGCGUGAGGGUAAAAAUCACUGUCCAAAACCUUUGUAGGAACUCUUUUCCAACCUUUGGGAAUAAGUUCGACAAAAAAAAUAAGAUAAAUGAAAAAAAUAUAUUUGGGGUGUUCCGGCUUCCUGAUGUUAAUACCCGGGUAUUAGGUUUUGGGGCUAGGGUUAGGUUUAAGGUUUUUGGCGUUAGGGUUAAAAUAACUGUCCAAUAUUUUUUAAGGAACAUGAUUCAGACCUUUGGGAGUUAGACAAAAAAAAAAGAAAAAGAAAAAAAUAUAUAUUUGGGGUGUUCGGGUUUCCUGAAGGUAAUACCCGGGUAUUAGGCUUUGGGGCUAGGGUAAGGUUUAAGGUUUUUGGUUUUAGGGUUAAAUUCACUGUCCAAAACCUUUGUAGGAACUCUUUUCCAACCUUUUGGAGUUAGUUAGACCAAAAAAAAAAAAAAAAAAAAAAAUAUUUGGGGUGUUCAGGCCUCCUGAAGGAAAUACCCAGGUAUUAGGUUAUGGGGCUAGGGUUAGGUUUAAGGUUUUUGGCAUUAGGGUUAAAAUCACUGUCCAAUAUUUUUUAAGGAACAUCUUUCAGACCUCUGGUAGUUAGUUAGACAAAAAAAAAAGAAAAAAAAAAAAAAAAUUGGGGUGUUCGGGCUUCCUGAAGGUAAUACCCGGGUAUUAGGUUUUGGGGCUAGGAUUAGGUUUAAGGUUUUUGGCGUUAGGGUUAAAAUCACCGUCCAAAACCUUUGUAGGAACUCUUUUCCGACCUUUUGGAGUUAGUUAGACCAAAAAAAAAAAAAAAAAAAAAUAUAUUUGGGGUGUUCGGGCUUCCUGAAGGAAAUACCCGGGUAUUAGGUUUUGGGGCUAGGGUUAGGUUGAAGGUUUUUGGCGUGAGGGUUAAAAUAACUGUCCAAUAUUUUUUAAGGAACAUGUUUCAGACCUUUGGGAGUUAGUUAGACAAAAAAAAAAAAGAAAAAGAAAAAAAAUAUUUGGGGUGUUCGGGUUUCCUGAAGGUAAUAUUAGGUAGGUAUUAGGAUAUGGGGCUAGGGUAAGGUUUAAGGUUUUUGGCGUUAGAGUUAAAAUCAGUGUCCAAAACCUUUUUGGGAACAUGUUUAAGACCUUUUGGAGUUGGUUACACCAAAAAAAAUGUAAAAUGAAAAGAAAAUAUUUGGGGUGUUCAAGCUUCCUGAAGGUAAUACCCGGGUAUUAGGUUAUGGGGCUAUAGUAAGGUUUAAGGUUUUUGGCGUUAGGGUUAAAAUAACUGUCCAAUAUUUUUUAAGGAACAUGUUUCAGACCUUUGGGAGUUAGUUAGACAAAAAAAAAAGAAAAAGAAAAAAAUAUAUAUUUGGGGUGUUCGGGUUUCCUGAAGGUAAUACCCGGGUAUUAGGUUAUGGGGCUAGGGUAAGGUUAAAGGUUUUUGGUGUUAGAGUUAAAAUCAGUGUCCAAAACCUUUUUAGGAACAUGUUUAAGACCUUUUAGAGUUGGUUACACCAAAAAAAAUGUAAAAUGAAAAAAAAAUAUUUGGGGUGUUCAAGCUUCCUGAAGGUAAUACCCGGGUAUUAGGUUAUGGGGCUAUAGUAAGGUUUAAGGUUUUUGGCGUUAGGGUUAAAAUCACUGUCCAAAACCUUUUUAGGAACAUGUUUCAGACCUUUUGGAGUUGGUUACACCAAAAAAAAUGUAAAAUGAAAAAGAAUUUUUUUUGGGUGUUCGGGCUUCCUGAAGGUAAUACUAGGUUUCUGGGCUAGGGUAAUGUUUUAGGUUUUUGGCGUUAGGGUUAAAAUCAAUGUCCAAAACCUUUGUAGGAACUCUUUUCCAACCUUUGAGAGCAAGUUAGACCAAAACAAAAAGAAAAAUAAAAAAUAUAUAUUUGGGGUGUUCGGGCUUCCUGAAGGUAAUACCCGGGUAUUAGGUUAUGGGGCUAGGGUAAGGUUUAAGGUUUUUCGGCGUGAGGGUAAAAAUCACUGUCCAAAACCUUUGUAGGAACUCUUUUCCAACCUUUGGGAAUAAGUUCGACAAAAAAAAUAAGAUAAAUGAAAAAAAUAUAUUUGGGGUGUUCCGGCUUCCUGAUGUUAAUACCCGGGUAUUAGGUUUUGGGGCUAGGGUUAGGUUUAAGGUUUUUGGCGUUAGGGUUAAAAUAACUGUCCAAUAUUUUUUAAGGAACAUGAUUCAGACCUUUGGGAGUUAGACAAAAAAAAAAGAAAAAGAAAAAAAUAUAUAUUUGGGGUGUUCGGGUUUCCUGAAGGUAAUACCCGGGUAUUAGGCUUUGGGGCUAGGGUAAGGUUUAAGGUUUUUGGUUUUAGGGUUAAAUUCACUGUCCAAAACCUUUGUAGGAACUCUUUUCCAACCUUUUGGAGUUAGUUAGACCAAAAAAAAAGAAAAAAGAAAAAAAAAUAUUUGGGGUGUUCAGGCCUCCUGAAGGAAAUACCCAGGUAUUAGGUUAUGGGGCUAGGGUUAGGUUUAAGGUUUUUGGCAUUAGGGUUAAAAUCACUGUCCAAUAUUUUUUAAGGAACAUCUUUCAGACCUCUGGUAGUUAGUUAGACAAAAAAAAAAAGAAAAAGAAAAAAAAAAUUGGGGUGUUCGGGCUUCCUGAAGGUAAUACCCGGGUAUUAGGUUUUGGGGCUAGGAUUAGGUUUAAGGUUUUUGGCGUUAGGGUUAAAAUCACCGUCCAAAACCUUUGUAGGAACUCUUUUCCGACCUUUUGGAGUUAGUUAGACCAAAAAAAAAAAAAAUGAAAAAAAUAUAUUUGGGGUGUUCGGGCUUCCUGAAGGAAAUACCCGGGUAUUAGGUUUUGGGGCUAGGGUUAGGUUGAAGGUUUUUGGCGUGAGGGUUAAAAUAACUGUCCAAUAUUUUUUAAGGAACAUGUUUCAGACCUUUGGGAGUUAGUUAGACAAAAAAAAAAAAGAAAAAGAAAAAAAAAUAUUUGGGGUGUUCGGGUUUCCUGAAGGUAAUAUUAGGUAGGUAUUAGGAUAUGGGGCUAGGGUAAGGUUUAAGGUUUUUGGCGUUAGAGUUAAAAUCAGUGUCCAAAACCUUUUUGGGAACAUGUUUAAGACCUUUUGGAGUUGGUUACACCAAAAAAAAUGUAAAAUGAAAAGAAAAUAUUUGGGGUGUUCAAGCUUCCUGAAGGUAAUACCCGGGUAUUAGGUUAUGGGGCUAUAGUAAGGUUUAAGGUUUUUGGCGUUAGGGUUAAAAUAACUGUCCAAUAUUUUUUAAGGAACAUGUUUCAGACCUUUGGGAGUUAGUUAGACAAAAAAAAAAGAAAAAGAAAAAAAUAUAUAUUUGGGGUGUUCGGGUUUCCUGAAGGUAAUACCCGGGUAUUAGGUUAUGGGGCUAGGGUAAGGUUAAAGGUUUUUGGUGUUAGAGUUAAAAUCAGUGUCCAAAACCUUUUUAGGAACAUGUUUAAGACCUUUUAGAGUUGGUUACACCAAAAAAAAUGUAAAAUGAAAAAAAAAUAUUUGGGGUGUUCGGGCUUACUGAAGGUAAUACCCGGGUAUUAGGUUUUGGGGCUAGGGUAAGGUUUAAGGUUUUUGGUGUUAGGGUUUAAAUCACUGUCCAAAACCUUUGUAGGAACUCUUUUCCAACCUUUUGGAGUUAGUUAGACAAAAAAAAAUGUAAAAUGAAAAAAAUAUAUUUGGGGUGUUCAAGCUUCCUGAAGGUAAUACCCGGGUAUUAGGUUUUGGGGCUAGGGUAAGGUUUAAGGUUAUUGGUGUUAGGGUUAAAAUCACUGUCCAAAACCUUUUUAGGAACAUGUUUCAGACCUUUUGGAGUAGGUUACACCAAAAAAAAAUGUAAAAUGAAAAGAAAAUAUUUGGGGUGUUCAAGCUUCCUGAAGGUAAUACCCGGGUAUUAGGUUAUGGGGCUAUAGUAAGGUUUAAGGUUUUUGGCGUUAGGGUUAAAAUCACUGUCCAAAACCUUUGUAGGAACUAUUUUCCAGACCUUUGGGAGUUAGUUAGACCAAAAAAAAACGAAAAAUGAAAAAAAAUAUUUGGGGUGUUCGGGCUUCCAUAAGGUAAUACCAAGGUAUUAGGUUAUGGGGCUAGGGUAAGAUUUAAGGUUUUUGGCGUAAGGGUUAAAAUCACUGUCCAAAACCUUUUAAGGAACAUGUUUCAGACCUUUUGGAGUUGGUUACGCCAAAAAAAAUGUAAAAUGAAAAAGAAUUUUUUUUGGGUGUUCGGGCAUCCUGAAGGUAAUACUAGAUUUCUGGGCUAGGGUAAUGUUUAAGGUUUUUGGCGUUAGGGUUAAAAUCAAUGUCCAAAACCUUUGUAGGAACUCUUUUCCAACCUUUGAGAGCAAGUUAGACCAAAACAAAAAGAAAAAUAAAAAAUAUAUAUUUGGGGUGUUCGGGCUUCCUGAAGGUAAUACCCGGGUAUUAGGUUAUGGGGCUAGGGUAAGGUUUAAGGUUUUUCGGCGUGAGGGUAAAAAUCACUGUCCAAAACCUUUGUAGGAACUCUUUUCCAACCUUUGGGAAUAAGUUAGACAAAAAAAAUAAAAUAAAUGAAAAAAAAAUAUUUGGGGUGUUCGGGCUUCCUGAAGGUAAUACACGGGUAUUAGGUUUUGGGGCUAGGGUUAGGUUUAAGGUUUUUGGCGUUAGGGUUAAAAUAACUGUCCAAUAUUUUUUAAGGAACAUGUUUCAGACCUUUGGGAGUUAGUUAGACAAAAAAAAAGAAAAAGAAAAAAAUAUAUAUUUGGGGUGUUCGGGUUUCCUGAAGGUAAUACCCGGGUAUUAGGUUAUGGGGCUAGGGUAAGGUUUAAGGUUUUUGGUGUUAGAGUUAAAAUCAGUGUCCAAAACCUUUUUAGGAACAUGUUUAAGACCUUUUAGAGUUGGUUACACCAAAAAAAAAUGUAAAAUGAAAAAAAAAUAUUUGGGGUGUUCGGGCUUACUGAAGGUAAUACCCGGGUAUUAGGUUUUGGGGCUAGGGUAAGGUUUAAGGUUUUUGGUGUUAGGGUUUAAAUCACUGUCCAAAACCUUUGUAGGAACUCUUUUCCAACCUUUUGGAGUUAGUUAGACAAAAAAAAAUGUAAAAUGAAAAAAAUAUAUUUGGGGUGUUCAAGCUUCCUGAAGGUAAUACCCGGGUAUUAGGUUUUGGGGCUAGGGUAAGGUUUAAGGUUUUUGGUGUUAGGGUUAAAAUCACUGUCCAAAACCUUUUUAGGAACAUGUUUCAGACCUUUUGGAGUAGGUUACACCAAAAAAAAAUGUAAAAUGAAAAGAAAAUAUUUGGGGUGUUCAAGCUUCCUGAAGGUAAUACCCGGGUAUUAGGUUUUGGGGCUAGGAUUAGGUUUAAGGUUUUUGGCGUUAGGGUUAAAUUCACCGUCCAAAACCUUUUGCAGGAACUCUUUUCCGACCUUUUGGAGUUAGUUAGACCAAAAAAAAAAAAAAAUGAAAAAAAUAUAUUUGGGGUGUUCGGGCUUCCUGAAGGAAAUACCCGGGUAUUAGGUUUUGGGGCUAGGGUUAGGUUUAAGGUUUUUGGCGUUAGGGUUAAAAUAACUGUCCAAUAUUUUUUAAGGAACAUGUUUCAGAUCUUUGGGAGUUAGUUAGACAAAAAAAAAAGAAAAAGAAAAAAAAAAUAUUUGGGGUGUUCGGGUUUCCUGAAGGUAAUAUUAGGUAGGUAUUAGGUUAUGGGGCUAGGGUAAGGUUUAAGGUUUUUGGCGUUAGAGUUAAAAUCAGUGUCCAAAACCUUUUUAGGAACAUGUUUAAGACCUUUUGGAGUUGGUUACACCAAAAAAAAUGUAAAAUGAAAAAAAAAAAUAUUUGGGGUGUUCGGGCUUCCUGAAGGUAAUACCCGUAUAUUAGGUUUUGGAGCUAGGGUAAGGUUUAAGGUUUUUGGUGUUAGGGUUAAAAUCACUGUCCAAAACCUUUGUAGGAACUCUUUUCCAACCUUUUGGUGUUAAUUAGACCAAAAAAAAAAGAAAAAAGAAAAAAAUAUAUUUGGGGUCUUCGGGCUUCCUGAAGGAAAUACCCAGGUAUUAGGUUAUGGGGCUAGGGUAAGGUUUAAGGUUUUUGGCGUUAGGGUUAAAAUCAAUGUCCAAAACCUUUUUAGGAACACGUUUCAGACCUUUUGGAGUUAGUUAGACCAAAAAAAAAUGUAAAAUUAAAAAAAAUUUUUGGGGUGUUCAAGCUUCCUGAAGGUAAUGCCCGAGUAUUAGAUUAUGUGGCUAUAGUAAGGUUUAAGGUUUUUGGGGUUAGGGUUAAAAUCACUGUCCAAAACCUUUUUAGGAACAUGUUUCAGACCUUUUGGAGUAGGUUACACCAAAAAAAAAUGUAAAAUGAAAAGAAAAUAUUUGGGGUGUUCAAGCUUCCUGAAGGUAAUACCCGGGUAUUAGGUUAUGGGGCUAUAGUAAGGUUUAAGGUUUUUGGCGUUAGGGUUAAAAUCACUGUCCAAAACCUUUGUAGGAACUAUUUUCCAACCUUUUGGAGUUAGUUAGACCAAAAAAAAAACGAAAAAUGAAAAAAAAUAUUUGGGGUUUUCGGGCUUACUGAAGGUAAUACCCGGGUAUUAGGUUUUUGGGCUAGGGUUAGGUUUAAGGUUUUUGGCGUUAGGGUUAAAAUCACUGUCCAACAUUUUUUAAGGAACAUCUUUCAGACCUCUGGGAGUUAGUUAGACAAAAAAAAAAGAAAAAGAAAAAAAAAAUUGGGGUGUUCGGGCUUCCUGAAGGUAAUACCCGGGUAUUAGGUUUUGGGGCUAGGAUUAGGUUUAAGUUUUUUGGCGUUAGGGUUAAAAUCACCGUCCAAAACCUUUGUAGGAACUCUUUUCCGACCUUUUGGAGUUGGUUACACCAAAAGAAAUGUAAAAUGAAAAAAAUAUAUUUGGGGUGUUCGGGCUUCCUGAAGGAAAUACCCGGGUAUUAGGUUUUGGGGCUAGGGUUAGGUUUAAGGUUUUUGGCGUUAGGGUUAAAAUAACUGUCCAAUAUUUUUUAAGGAACAUGUUUCAGACCUUUGGGAGUUAGUUAGACAAAAAAAAAAGAAAAAGAAAAAAAUAUAUUUGGGGUCUUUGGGCUUCCUGAAGGAAAUACCCAGGUAUUAGGUUAUGGGGCUAGGGUAAGGUGUAAGGUUUUUUGCGUUAGGGUUAAAAUCACUGUCCAAAACCUUUUUAGGAACAUGUUUCAGACCUUUUGGAGUUGGUAACACCAAAAAAAAAUGUAAAAUGAAAAAAAAAUAUUUGGGGUGUUCAAGCUUCCUGAAGGUAAUACCCGGGUAUUAGGUUUUGGGGCUAGGGUAAGGUUUAAGGUUUUUGGUGUUAGGGUUUAAAUCACUGUCCAAAACCUUUGUAGGAAGUCUUUUCCAACCUUUUGGAGUUAGUUAGACAAAAAAAAAAAGAUAAAUGAAAAAAAAAUAUUUGGGGUGUUCGGGCUUCCUGAAGGUAAUACCCGGGUAUUAGGUUAUGGGGCUAGGGUAAGGUUUAAGGUUUUUGGCGUUAGGGUUAAAAUAACUGUCCAAAACCUUUUUAGGAACAUGUUUCAGACCUUUUGGAGUUGGUUACACCAAAAAAAAUGUAAAAUGAAAAAAAAAAUUUUUUGGGUGUUCGGGCUUCCUGAAGGUAAUACUUUGUAUUACCUUUGUAGGAAGUCUUUUCCAACCUUUUGGAGUUAGUCUUUUGUAGGAAGUCUUUUCCAACCUUUUGGAGUUAGUUAGACAAAAAAAAAAAGAUAAAUGAAAAAAAAAUAUUUGGGGUGUUCGGGCUUCCUGAAGGUAAUACCCGGGUAUUAGGUUAUGGGGCUAGGGUAAGGUUUAAGGUUUUUGGCGUAAGGGUUAAAAUCACUGUCCAAAACCUUUUUAGGAACAUGUUUCAGACCUUUUGGAGUUGGUUACACCAAAAAAAAUGUAAAAUGAAAAAAAAAAUUUUUUGGGUGUUCGGGCUUCCUGAAGGUAAUACUAGGUUAUGGGGCUAGGGUAAUGUUUAAGGUUUUUGGUGUUAGGGUUAAAAUCAAUGUCCAAAACCUUUGUAGGAACUCUUUUUCAACCUUUGAGAGCAAGUUAGACAAAAACAAAAAGAAAAAUAAAAAAUAUAUAUUUGGGGUGUUCGGGCUUCCUGAAGGUAAUACCCGGGUAUUAGGUUUUGGGGCUAGGGUUAGGUUUAAGGUUUUUGGCGUUAGGGUUAAAAUAACUGUCCAAUAUUUUUUAAGGAACAUGUUUCAGACCUUUGGGAGUUAGUUAGACAAAAAAAAAGAAAAAGAAAAAAAUAUAUAUUUGGGGUGUUCGGGUUUCCUGAAGGUAAUACCCGGGUAUUAGGUUAUGGGGCUAGGGUAAGGUUUAAGGUUUUUGGUGUUAGAGUUAAAAUCAGUGUCCAAAACCUUUUUAGGAACAUGUUUAAGACCUUUUAGAGUUGGUUACACCAAAAAAAAAUGUAAAAUGAAAAAAAAAUAUUUGGGGUGUUCGGGCUUACUGAAGGUAAUACCCGGGUAUUAGGUUUUGGGGCUAGGGUAAGGUUUAAGGUUUUUGGUGUUAGGGUUUAAAUCACUGUCCAAAACCUUUGUAGGAACUCUUUUCCAACCUUUUGGAGUUAGUUAGACAAAAAAAAAUGUAAAAUGAAAAAAAUAUAUUUGGGGUGUUCAAGCUUCCUGAAGGUAAUACCCGGGUAUUAGGUUUUGGGGCUAGGGUAAGGUUUAAGGUUUUUGGUGUUAGGGUUAAAAUCACUGUCCAAAACCUUUUUAGGAACAUGUUUCAGACCUUUUGGAGUAGGUUACACCAAAAAAAAAUGUAAAAUGAAAAGAAAAUAUUUGGGGUGUUCAAGCUUCCUGAAGGUAAUACCCGGGUAUUAGGUUUUGGGGCUAGGAUUAGGUUUAAGGUUUUUGGCGUUAGGGUUAAAUUCACCGUCCAAAACCUUUUGCAGGAACUCUUUUCCGACCUUUUGGAGUUAGUUAGACCAAAAAAAAAAAAAAAUGAAAAAAAUAUAUUUGGGGUGUUCGGGCUUCCUGAAGGAAAUACCCGGGUAUUAGGUUUUGGGGCUAUGGUUAGGUUUAAGGUUUUUGGCGUUAGGGUUAAAAUAACUGUCCAAUAUUUUUUAAGGAACAUGUUUCAGAUCUUUGGGAGUUAGUUAGACAAAAAAAAAAGAAAAAGAAAAAAAAAAUAUUUGGGGUGUUCGGGUUUCCUGAAGGUAAUAUUAGGUAGGUAUUAGGUUAUGGGGCUAGGGUAAGGUUUAAGGUUUUUGGCGUUAGAGUUAAAAUCAGUGUCCAAAACCUUUUUAGGAACAUGUUUAAGACCUUUUGGAGUUGGUUACACCAAAAAAAAUGUAAAAUGAAAAAAAAAAAUAUUUGGGGUGUUCGGGCUUCCUGAAGGUAAUACCCGUAUAUUAGGUUUUGGAGCUAGGGUAAGGUUUAAGGUUUUUGGUGUUAGGGUUAAAAUCACUGUCCAAAACCUUUGUAGGAACUCUUUUCCAACCUUUUGGUGUUAGUUAGACCAAAAAAAAAGGAAAAAGGAAAAAAUAUAUUUGGGGUCUUCGGGCUUCCUGAAGGAAAUACCCAGGUAUUAGGUUAUGGGGCUAGGGUAAGGUUUAAGGUUUUUGGCGUUAGGGUUAAAAUCAAUGUCCAAAACCUUUUUAGGAACACGUUUCAGACCUUUUGGAGUUAGUUAGACCAAAAAAAAAUGUAAAAUUAAAAAAAAUUUUUGGGGUGUUCAAGCUUCCUGAAGGUAAUGCCCGAGUAUUAGAUUAUGUGGCUAUAGUAAGGUUUAAGGUUUUUGGGGUUAGGGUUAAAAUCACUGUCCAAAACCUUUUUAGGAACAUGUUUCAGACCUUUUGGAGUAGGUUACACCAAAAAAAAAUGUAAAAUGAAAAGAAAAUAUUUGGGGUGUUCAAGCUUCCUGAAGGUAAUACCCGGGUAUUAGGUUAUGGGGCUAUAGUAAGGUUUAAGGUUUUUGGCGUUAGGGUUAAAAUCACUGUCCAAAACCUUUGUAGGAACUAUUUUCCAACCUUUUGGAGUUAGUUAGACCAAAAAAAAAACGAAAAAUGAAAAAAAAUAUUUGGGGUUUUCGGGCUUACUGAAGGUAAUACCCGGGUAUUAGGUUUUUGGGCUAGGGUUAGGUUUAAGGUUUUUGGCGUUAGGGUUAAAAUCACUGUCCAACAUUUUUUAAGGAACAUCUUUCAGACCUCUGGGAGUUAGUUAGACAAAAAAAAAAGAAAAAGAAAAAAAAAUUUGGGGUGUUCGGGCUUCCUGAAGGUAAUACCCGGGUAUUAGGUUUUGGGGCUAGGAUUAGGUUUAAGUUUUUUGGCGUUAGGGUUAAAAUCACCGUCCAAAACCUUUGUAGGAACUCUUUUCCGACCUUUUGGAGUUGGUUACACCAAAAGAAAUGUAAAAUGAAAAAAAUAUAUUUGGGGUGUUCGGGCUUCCUGAAGGAAAUACCCGGGUAUUAGGUUUUGGGGCUAGGGUUAGGUUUAAGGUUUUUGGCGUUAGGGUUAAAAUAACUGUCCAAUAUUUUUUAAGGAACAUGUUUCAGACCUUUGGGAGUUAGUUAGACAAAAAAAAAAGAAAAAGAAAAAAAUAUAUUUGGGGUCUUUGGGCUUCCUGAAGGAAAUACCCAGGUAUUAGGUUAUGGGGCUAGGGUAAGGUGUAAGGUUUUUUGCGUUAGGGUUAAAAUCACUGUCCAAAACCUUUUUAGGAACAUGUUUCAGACCUUUUGGAGUUGGUAACACCAAAAAAAAAUGUAAAAUGAAAAAAAAAUAUUUGGGGUGUUCAAGCUUCCUGAAGGUAAUACCCGGGUAUUAGGUUUUGGGGCUAGGGUAAGGUUUAAGGUUUUUGGUGUUAGGGUUUAAAUCACUGUCCAAA